Molecule: small nuclear RNA, 107 nt
Organism: Balaenoptera acutorostrata (minke whale)
Lineage: Eukaryota; Metazoa; Chordata; Mammalia; Artiodactyla; Balaenopteridae
Source: RefSeq, a predicted model, not a curated record
GUGCUCCCUUUCGCAACACAUACAUUAAAACUGGAACAAUACAGAGAAGAUUAACAUGGCCCCUGUGCAAGGAUGACAUGCAAAUUUGUGAAGCGUUCCAUAUUUUU